UGAGAGAAAAGCAUUUGCCAAGACUU
RNAcentral lists this non-coding RNA (26 nucleotides) under Homo sapiens (human). Lineage: Eukaryota; Metazoa; Chordata; Mammalia; Primates; Hominidae. The record is from RNAcentral.